GACGAACGCUGGCGGCGUGCUUAACACAUGCAAGUCGAACGGUGAAGGGGCCUGCUUUUGUGGGCCCUGGAUGAGUGGCGAACGGGUGAGUAACACGUGAGUAACCUGCCCCCUUCUUCUGGAUAACCGCAUGAAAGUGUGGCUAAUACGGGAUAUUCUGGGUCUGUCGCAUGAUGGGUCUGGGAAAGAUUGCGCCUUUGGGUGUUUUUGGUGGGGGAUGGGCUCGCGGCCUAUCAGCUUGUUGGUGGGGUGAUGGCCUACCAAGGCGGUGACGGGUAGCCGGCCUGAGAGGGUGGACGGUCACACUGGGACUGAGACACGGCCCAGACUCCUACGGGAGGCAGCAGUGGGGAAUAUUGCACAAUGGGCGCAAGCCUGAUGCAGCGACGCCGCGUGAGGGAUGGAGGCCUUCGGGGUGUAAACCUCUUUCGCCAGUGAAGCAGGCCUGCUCCUUGUGGGUGGGUUGACGGUAGCUGGAUAAGAAGCGCCGGCUAACUACG
RNAcentral lists this ribosomal RNA (500 nucleotides) under uncultured bacterium. RNAcentral describes it as "partial 16S ribosomal RNA". It matches the Rfam family "Bacterial small subunit ribosomal RNA", at positions 28 to 505 of the family's 1533-position model. The record is from RNAcentral.